GAAGGUAUAGCUCAGUGGUAAACUGCCUGCUUAGCAUGCACAAGGUCCUGGGUUCAAUCCCCAGUACCUCUG
Molecule: transfer RNA, 72 nt
Organism: Camelus ferus (Wild Bactrian camel)
Lineage: Eukaryota; Metazoa; Chordata; Mammalia; Artiodactyla; Camelidae
Rfam family: tRNA
About the family: Transfer RNA (tRNA) molecules are approximately 80 nucleotides in length. Their secondary structure includes four short double-helical elements and three loops (D, anti-codon, and T loops).
Source: Rfam